Molecule: long non-coding RNA, 6211 nt
Filed under: Brassica napus (rape)
Lineage: Eukaryota; Viridiplantae; Streptophyta; Magnoliopsida; Brassicales; Brassicaceae
Description: long non-coding RNA (BNAP_LNC015520)
Source: RNAcentral
CAUUAUUAACUAUAUAAAAAUACAAAUAUAUAGAUUAUUAAUUAACAUUUAAAAAUCAUCAUCCUAUAUUAUCAACAAAUUCCAUAAACUUAUCUACAAAUUUUAUAAACCUAUCUACAAAUUCCCCCUACACUAACCACCUAAACUAAUUACCCUAAACUAACCACCUAAACUAUAAAUUAGAAGGGGGAGAGGAAGUGACUACGAAAUGAGAAGUGAUUUGGUUCGGGUAUAUAUAAACUUAUAUAUUGUCGUAAAAAUCUCGUGAAGUUACGACAAUUUUACGAGGAAUUAGCAAGGACCACGUUUUCUUUUUUACGUUUCGUCGUAAAGCCCACCUAAACUUACGAGGAAUUAGCAAGGUCAGUGUUUUAUUUUACGACGAAUUAGCAAGGCCCGUGUUUUCCUUUACGACGAUUUUACGAGGAAAAUAUGUAAAUCCCUAUAAGCCGAAACACCAAGGCUCGUGUUAUUAAAUUUCGUUUUAAAAUCCUCGGUAAUUACGAGUAUUUUACGACGAAGAUUUUAUAUUUACAAAAAAAAAACAAAGGGAGACUGUCACCAGAAGGGUCGUUAUUAAUUCCAAAUAGCAUUUGAAACUGAUCAGAACUGUUCUGGUGACAGUGCACUCCCUUCAGGUUUUUUCAAACUAUUGUUUAGUUUUUUUUGUGGAAGUUUAGAAUGGGAGGGGUGUGCUUAUUUAUAGAAGUAGUUGUAGUCAUAAAAUCCUCGUUAUUUAACGAGGCAAUAACAAGGCCCGUGUUUUCAUUUUCGUCGUAAAAUCGUCGUAACAUUACGAGGAAAUAAGAAGGCCCAUGUUUUCUUUUUGACGAAUUAGCAAGGCCCGUGUUUUCAGUUUCGUCGUAAAAUCGUCGUAACAUUAAGAGGAAAUAACAAGGCCCGUGAGGAAAUAACAAGGCCCGUGUUUUUAUUUACGAGGAAAUAACAAGGCCCGUGUUUUUGUACGACGAUUUUGCGAGGAAAUUAUGAAAAUCCCUAUCACCCGAAACCCCAAACCCCAAGUUCCUUAACUUCAUCUAUCACUCAAUCUCUUCUUUCUAAACCCCAAACCCCCAAUUGAGUUACACAAAAUCAAAUUAUAUAAUUUAAUUUUCAUGAUUAGACAAACUAAACACAUGCAUUAACUCUAAAUAUAAAUCAUAUUUAAGAAAAUUACAUCAUCAUUCGGAUACAUUAUUGACAUUCUCGUCAUCACUAGAAACAUCAUCAUUUUCAUUAAACUCGUCUUCAACAUCUUUGUCCGUCGUAUCGGGAAGAUCUUCGUACUCACGAUUAUGCGGAUCAAUAAGAAGGAUGUCAUCAGUUUGUUGUUCAGGUUCCUCGACUUCAUUGAUGUGUUCUUCUUGCAAUGGUAGUUCUUCUCCACCGAUUAACGUCCACGAGGUGUAACUUUGACAUAGGCAAAUCAAUUGAUUCCAGAUUCUCUCAUCCGAGAGUAUGGAAGGAAGCUGACUUGGUCUGCUUGUGAAGUUAAUAUGAAAGGCUCGAAUUUGUUGUACCUUCGUCCACCAUUGAUAUCAACUACACCGAAUUUGUUAAAUCGAACACCUCGGUUGAUGACGGUGUCGAACCAGUCACAUUUGAAGAGGACACAUUUCAGCUUCAAUAACCCUGGGAAUUACACUUCAAUAAUCUCCUGUAAUAUCCUGUCGAAAUCUGUUUCGCCUUUCACACAUAUUCCAUAAUUACUUGUCGCCCGAUGUCUACCAUACUCAUAUGUAUGAAAAGUAAAUCCUCGUGUGAAAUACAUCGGUGAUGUGGUUACCUUUGCAACUGGACCUUGAAUUAAUUCAUGAAACCAUGUGGGGUAAUCUGGAUCGUCAUAAUCAACCUGCAAAAAUAAAGAGAACGUUAAAAUUAAUUAAUCAUACUAACGGCGAAUACGGAUCAUAUGCCAACUUACAAAAUUGGGUUAAUACCUGACCCUUCAACCACUUAAUAAAGUGUUGAUAUUUCCUUUUGUCUACCUCACAUUUGGAUAUACAUGAGUUUGUUUCUUUGACUUGAGAAACAAAUAGGCUGUAAAAUCAUAUUUUCUACUAAUUAAUCAUUUGAAAAUUAUAUAAUUUAUACAUAUAUGUGUUUAGAAGUUUCAAUAUAUGUUACCUUUCAAAAUAACGUAUCAAUAGAUUCUCGCAAUUGAGUAGAAUAUAUGUGUGUGCACUAUGGGCGUCUUCACCACUUGACCACCAAACCUCUUUCAAUUUCCCACCGAAUCGCCCUAUCUGGCAAAAGAUGUCUGGAACACCAGCAACUGCAUAUGUUGGCGUGACACCACCAUCGUCAUAUCUUCUUGGAGCUGUUUUCCGGGUACAUACUUUUGGUGCAAAGUAGUACGAUGUGAAGUGAGAUGUUUCUUCUGUCAAACUUCCAGCAAUUAUAGAACCUUCAACUUGUCCAUUGAUUUUUAUAUGUCACUCGCUUCUUGAGCAAAUAUCAGGCAAGUCCAACCUCGAUUUUUUUGUUGUCUUUUGUCUUCCCUGGGACAUUCAAUAUUGUAUUCAUGAUGUUUUCAAAAACAUUCUUCUCUAUAUGCAUCACAUCGAGGUUGUGGCGCAAAAGAAGAUCUUUACAAUAUGUCAACUCCCAAAAUAUACUCUUUUUGUGCCAGUUGUGCUGACCUCCGUAAAAAUCAGGCAUAUUACCGGGAACAUGCCAAUUACCACCAUAACAAACUGUUUCGUUAGCUCAGUAGUAAUCGAUUUGCGCUUCAAUUUCUUCUCCAGUUAAAUAUGGAGGAGGAGUGUCUCUCACAACCCUUUUGUGCCUAAACAAUUUCUUGUUUCUUCGGUACGGAUGGCUAAUGGGAAGAAAUCGACAGUGACAAUCGAACCAACUUGUCUUCCUACCAUUCUUCAGUUGAAACGCAUAUGUCGUUCCAUUACAAUAAGGACAAGCUAAUCUCCCAUGUGUAGUCCAUCCAGACAACAUCCCAUAGGCAGAUGUGAAGUGAGAUGUUUCUUCUGUCAAACUUCCAGCAAUUAUAGAACCUUCAACUUUGGCGAGGUUUUUUGCUUUUCCCUUCAAAUAUUUCAUGGUCCACUCAUACUGAUACAUCCAUCCGUAAUGUACUGGUCCACGAAGAAAUGCCUCAUACGGGAGGUGGAUAGCUAGAUGCUCCAUGACGUCAAAGAAUGCCGGAGGAAAGAUCUUCUCCAAGUUGCACAAGAAGAUGAGAAUGUUCUCAUGAAGUUGUUCUGCGACAUCCUCUAAGAAUGUGUGUGCUCAUAUCCCUGAAAAAUGCUCAAAUGCCUUCAAUAUUCCAAUUAAACACAUUAUUAGUCAUAUUAUUUAUGCGUGUAUAUUACAGAGCAACAAAGAAAUUAAUGCGUAAUUAAUAUAUUACCUGCAAGUGCUUCAUAUACAUUUGUUGGACAUGAAAAUCAUGACUCUUCAUCCCGGAGAACUUUCGACCCUUUUCAACACAUCUAGAGAGAUUUGAAACAUACCCAUCGGGAAACUUCACUUCUGAUGCCACCCAGUUGAACAACACCAACUUUUGUUCGGAAGACAAUCUGAAUAUCGAAACGGGAACUUGUCCAUUGCUUUUUGUAUGUAACCCGCUUCUUGAGAAAAUAUCACAUCGAAUAACGGAACGAGAACUUGUCCAUUGCUUUUUAUAUGUAACCCGCUUCUUGAGCAAAUAUCAGGCAAGUCCAACCUCGAUUUUUUGCUGUCUUUUUGUCUUACCUGGGACAUUCAAUAUUGUAAAAGUGGGGUCAAACAUUUCCUCGUAAAAGCCACGUAACACAUUUCCUCGUAAAAGACACGUUAACUGUUUCCUCGUAAAAGACACGUAAACUUAUUCGUCGUAAAGAACACGUAAAUCAUUUCCUCGUAAAAAGCACGUAAUUUAUUCCUCGUAAAGUACACGUAAAAAAUUUAUUCUCGUAAAGUACACGUAAAUAAUUUCCUUGUGAAGUAGACGCUCAGUUUCGUCGUCGUUUUCUCGUUAAUAAUUUUCAGUUUCCUCGUUAAUUAAAGGUAAAUUAGCUACGAAUUUGCUUCGAUUCUUUAUUUUUUACAAAAACAAAAAUAUAAUCAAAAAUAUUUUUAAAUUUAUUUCAAAAUUCUUAAAAAUAUAAAUAAAAACAAAAAUAUUUUAUAAAUAUUUAAGUUUCAAAUUUUUAAUACAAAAAAAAAGAAGAAAAAAAGCUAAGGGUUGUUGGAGGGGCAGAGCGCGUCGAAGAACUCUUGACUCCUCAUCUGCACAUCUUCUUCAAUGUGAGAUGGCUCUGGAAUGAGAUUUUGUGUCCGCACCUGAGGAUGUCCGUACGCCAGAACGUCUAAAAUGCCCUCGAAUGAAGUCAUAUGAGCUGUAAACGCAGACCGCGUGGAGUUCAACUCGGAACGCAGCUCAGUGACUUCAUCAGCCCGUCUCUGACUUCAUCAGCCCGUCUCUGACCAUAAGACGAUGUCGCUCUUGGGACAUCGUUGACGGAACCAAUCCCCAACGUACAUCCCUUUUUCUUUGGGACAACCUUAAAAAAAAAAUAACGUUAGUAAUUAAAAAUUAGAUUAAAUGAAUAAUAAUAAUUAAAGAUUUUUAAAAAAUUUAUCUCCUCGUAAAUCUGAUACACUUCAAGUGUGGAUAAUGUGACCGGUAUUCCAUCGGGAGACUGCUGGGUCAGCUGGAUUUGGCGAUCUUCAAUUCAAGCAACCACGUCGUUGUAGAUUUGCUCAGACCUAGGAUCAACAAAUUUCCAAGCCUUGUUCUUGUGGGUCCUCUCGUAAAGAUCCUUAAGAGAACGGAGAAUUCACGUCUCUUUGGCCUAAAAACAUUUAAGAAGUUAGAAUAUAUAUAUAUAUAUAUUAAAAAAAAUAAAGUAAUUAAAAUAUUUAAUUACAAUCUCCAAACAGACACCGACGUGAAGUUUUUGACCCGUGAUGUGAAGCAUCGGCCCGUUGCCAUGCUCAUCUUUCGUCAGACGGGAGGCGGAGCAACUGUCGGAGACUUUAAUGGACGAUGGUAGGUUCCAAUAACGGAUGAGGUCAUCCCACACACGCGUGGUGAGCUGAGCGGGUUUUCCUUGCACAUAACCCUUCAAGAUCCAAUCAUCCUUCCAGUUGGAUACCGUGUCCAGCAAUCAUUUUUCGCCUUCCCUUCGAACGCAUUCUUCACCCUCUCGUUCACCCCUAUGGACCAAUGAUAUUUUUGCUGCAAAAAAAAAAUAGAUUAGUAAUUACUUUAAAAAUAAUAAUUCGUAAUAAUAAAAAAAUAGAUUAAUAGUAACUUACGACAAACAUUUUGAACCACGUAUUUCUGAUGUCGAUCGGCGUCGAUUUCCAGUUUGGAUGGGCGUGGGGGGAAGUAGCCUUUGAUCACUUCGGUAACGUUCCGAGCGACAGAAGUGUCAACCCCAAGCCUGAAAGAAACAAAAAAAAAUGUGUUAGCUUAAUUAUUUUUUGUUAUAAAACAAGUGCACAAUAAAAAUGUAACAUACCACAAAGUUCCAUUCGAUCGGUCGGGGUCGAAGACUGGUAAACCUCUUCUGCCUGGCUGAACAAGAAUUUUCUCAACGGUGUACAUAGCAUAAGGAGCACUCGGUGGCACCAGCAAAUCGGGAUGAAUCUCGUCCGGCACCAUCGGAGGAGGUGCCUCCUCAGGAACAUGAUCAUGAUGCGCAGGUGGCGUAUCAAACAGAGGAACCGGUGGCGGAACAUAUGGAGGUGUCUGAGAGACUCACUGAGAAGACUGAGAGUCUCCGGAAACGAAGAACUGGGAACUGAAGAAGAUGAUGUGCUUGUACGAGUACCAGGCUCACUAAACAUCUGACUUUAAUGCUGUGUACGACGCUUGUUCUUUCGAACCAUCUGAAAAAAAAUUUAACUGUCAUUAUUAACCAUAUAAAAAUAUAAAUAUAUAGAUUAUAUACGAGUACCAGGCUAACCAAACAUCUGACUUUAAUGCUGUGUACGACGCUUGUUCUUUCGAACCAUCUGAAAAAAAAAAUUAAUUGUCAUUAUUAACCAUAUAAAAUAUAAAUAUAUAGAUUAUUAAUUAACAUUUAAAAAUCAUCGAUCAUCCUAUAUUAUCUACAAAGUCCAUAAACCUAUCUACAAAUUCCAUAAACCUAUCUACAAAUCCCCUACACUAACCACCUAAACUAAUUACCCUAAACUAACCACCUAAACUAUAAAUUAGAAGGGGGAGAGGAAGUGACUACGAAAUGAGAAGUGAUUUGGUUCG